CAGGGAUUGCCCCAGUAACGGCGAGUGAAGCGGCAACAGCUCAAAUUUGAAAUCUGGCUCCUAGAGCCCGAGUUGUAAUUUGUAGAGGAUGCUUUUGAUGCGGUGCCUUCCGAGUUCCCUGGAACGGGACGCCAUAGAGGGUGAGAGCCCCGUCUGGUCGGAUGCCAAAUCUCUGUAAAGCUCCUUCGACGAGUCGAGUAGUUUGGGAAUGCUGCUCAAAAUGGGAGGUAUAUGUCUUCUAAAGCUAAAUAUUGGCCAGAGACCGAUAGCGCACAAGUAGAGUGAUCGAAAGAUGAAAAGCACUUUGAAAAGAGGGUUAAAUAGUACGUGAAAUUGUUGAAAGGGAAGCGCCUAUGACCAGACUUGGGCCCGGUGAAUCAUCCAGCGUUCUCGCUGGUGCACUUUGCCGGGCACAGGCCAGCAUCAGUUUGUCUUGGGGGAAAAAGGUUUCGGGAACGUGGCUCCCUCGGGAGUGUUAUAGCCCGUUGCAUAAUACCCUGAGACGGACUGAGGUUCGCGCAUCUGCAAGGAUGCUGGCGUAAUGGUCAUCAGCGACCCGUCUUGAAACACGGACCAAGGAGUCGUCUUCGUAUGCGAGUGUUCGGGUGUAAAACCCCUACGCGUAAUGAAAGUGAACGCAGGUGAGAGCUUCGGCGCAUCAUCGACCGAUCCUGAUGUUCUCGGAUGGAUUUGAGUAAGAGCAUACGGGGCCGGACCCGAAAGAAGGUGAACUAUUCCUGUAUAGGGUGAAGCCAGAGGAAACUCUGGUGGAGGCUCGCAGCGGUUCUGACGUGCGAAUCGAUCGUCAAAUAUGGGAAUGGGGGCGAAMGACUAAU
Molecule: ribosomal RNA, 836 nt
Filed under: Simplicillium aogashimaense
Lineage: Eukaryota; Fungi; Ascomycota; Sordariomycetes; Hypocreales; Cordycipitaceae
Description: partial large subunit ribosomal RNA
Source: RNAcentral